CCUACGGGUGGCAGCAGUGAGGAAUAUUGGUCAAUGGGCGAGAGCCUGAACCAGCCAAGUCGCGUGAGGGAGUACUGCCCUAUGGGUUGUAAACCUCUUUUGUCGGGGAGCAAAAUCCGGACGUGUCCGGCUGUGAGAGUACCCGAAGAAAAAGCAUCGGCUAACUCCGUGCCAGCAGCCGCGGUAAUACGGAGGAUGCGAGCGUUAUCCGGAUUUAUUGGGUUUAAAGGGUGCGCAGGCGGAUUUUUAAGGUAGCGGUAAAAUCGUGGGGCUCAACCCCGGCCAGCCGUUGAAACUGGGGAUCUAGAGUGUGCGAGAGGUAUGCGGAAUGCGAGGUGUAGCGGUGAAAUGCAUAGAUAUCGCGCAGAACCCCGAUUGCGAAGGCAGCAUACCGGUGCACAACUGACGCUGAGGCACGAAAGCGUGGGUAUCGAACAGGAUUAGAUACCCUUGUAGUC
This 458-nucleotide ribosomal RNA is filed under the name uncultured bacterium. RNAcentral describes it as "partial 16S ribosomal RNA". It matches the Rfam family "Bacterial small subunit ribosomal RNA", at positions 338 to 795 of the family's 1533-position model. The record is from RNAcentral.